This 279-nucleotide long non-coding RNA is filed under the name Elaeis guineensis (African oil palm). Its description in RNAcentral is "long non-coding RNA (EGUI_LNC068880)". The record is from RNAcentral. Lineage: Eukaryota; Viridiplantae; Streptophyta; Magnoliopsida; Arecales; Arecaceae.
AUCGAUGAUCUUCAAGCUUGAUUCCUCCUCUUUUUUUCUUGGAAGCCGUGGCACCCUCUUCUUGUGUUCGUUGAAAAUCGAAGGUCGAAGAGGCCACCGAAGUUCAGGUAAGGGUUCAAUCUUUCUUCCUCUCUCUCUUUUCUUUUUUCUCAUGAUUUUAGACUCUUCGCUGGCCGUCGAGAUCGUUAGAAAUUCCAUGAAACAUAAAAUUCCUGUUCGGUCGGAACCUUUUCCUCUCUUUUUCGACAACCAGUAUCGCAGGUUGCGGCAUCUCAUCCC